This 77-nucleotide transfer RNA is filed under the name Oxalobacteraceae bacterium OTU3CINTB1. Its description in RNAcentral is "tRNA-His". It matches the Rfam family "tRNA". From Rfam's summary of the family: Transfer RNA (tRNA) molecules are approximately 80 nucleotides in length. Their secondary structure includes four short double-helical elements and three loops (D, anti-codon, and T loops). Further hydrogen bonds mediate the characteristic L-shaped molecular structure. tRNAs have two regions of fundamental functional importance: the anti-codon, which is responsible for specific mRNA codon recognition, and the 3' end, to which the tRNAs corresponding amino acid is attached (by aminoacyl-tRNA synthetases). tRNAs cope with the degeneracy of the genetic code in two manners: having more than one tRNA (with a specific anti-codon) for a particular amino acid; and 'wobble' base-pairing, i.e. permitting non-standard base-pairing at the 3rd anti-codon position. The record is from RNAcentral. Lineage: Bacteria; Pseudomonadati; Pseudomonadota; Betaproteobacteria; Burkholderiales; Oxalobacteraceae.
GCGGCUGUAGCUCAGCUGGAUAGAGUACUUGGCUAUGAACCAAGGGGUCGUGGGUUCGAUUCCUGCCAGCCGCACCA